GCGCGAAAACUUUACAAUGCUGGCAACAGCGAUAAGGGAACCUCGAGUGCCAGGUUACAAAUCUGGCUGUCGAGAUGCCUAAAAAGCAUUUCAUAGCAAGGGCCGGGCAAGACCGGUGCCAGCAGCCGCGGUAACACCGGCGGCUCGAGUGGUAACCGUUAUUAUUGGGUCUAAAGGGUCUGUAGCCGGCCGGAUAAGUCUCUUGAGAAAUCUGGCAGCUUAACUGUCAGGCUUUCAGGAGAUACUGUCUGGCUCGAGGCCGGGAGAGGUGAGAGGUACUUCAGGGGUAGGGGUGAAAUCUUGUAAUCCUUGAAGGACCACCAGUGGCGAAGGCGUCUCACCAGAACGGACCUGACGGCAAGGGACGAAAGCUAGGGGCAC
RNAcentral lists this ribosomal RNA (381 nucleotides) under uncultured bacterium. Its description in RNAcentral is "bacterial SSU rRNA". It matches the Rfam family "Archaeal small subunit ribosomal RNA", at positions 339 to 720 of the family's 1478-position model. The record is from RNAcentral.